This 422-nucleotide ribosomal RNA is filed under the name uncultured bacterium. RNAcentral describes it as "bacterial SSU rRNA". It matches the Rfam family "Bacterial small subunit ribosomal RNA", at positions 355 to 774 of the family's 1533-position model. The record is from RNAcentral.
UAAGGAAUAUUGGACAAUGGAGGCAACUCUGAUCCAGCCAUGCCGCGUGAAGGAAUAAGGCCCUAUGGGUUGUAAACUUCUUUUAGACGGGACAAAACCCCUUUACGUGUAAAGGGUUGAUGGUACUGUCAGAAUAAGCAUCGGCUAACUUCGUGCCAGCAGCCGCGGUAAUACGAAGGAUGCAAGCGUUAUCCGGAAUUAUUGGGUUUAGAGGGUGCGUAGGCGGACUAAUAAGUCAGUGGUGAAAGCCUGCAGCUUAACUGCAGAAUUGCCAUUGAUACUUUUAGUCUUGAGUACAGUUGAGGUAGGCGGAAUGUGUCAUGUAGCGGUGAAAUGCUUAGAUAUGACACAGAACACCGAUUGCGAAGGCAGCUUGCUAAGCUGUAACUGACGCUGAGGCACGAAAGCGUGGGGAGCAAACA